Molecule: ribosomal RNA, 260 nt
Filed under: uncultured bacterium
Lineage: Bacteria
Description: partial 16S ribosomal RNA
Rfam family: Bacterial small subunit ribosomal RNA
Source: RNAcentral
AGUGGCGGACGGGUGAGUAACGCGUGGGUAACCUGCCCCAUACAGGGGGAUAACAGAUAGAAAUGUCUGCUAAUACCGCAUAAGACCACAGCGCCGCAUGGCGCAGGGGUAAAAACUCCGGUGGUAUGGGAUGGACCCGCGUCUGAUUAGCUAGUUGGUGGGGUAAAGGCCCACCAAGGCGACGAUCAGUAGCCGACCUGAGAGGGUGACCGGCCACAUUGGAACUGAGACNCGGUCCAAACUCCUACGGGAGGCAGCAG